CGUGAGUCCCCCUAUAGCCUGGUUGCCUCCAACACCCUGCUGGUGGCCCGGCCGUCCUGGCCCUACCUGGCCAGCCGUCCACCACCACCUUCACCCAGCAGCCGCUGCAGCGGAACAACGGGAGGAUCACAGGCUACGUGAUAUUCCUCACCAUGGACCAAACUGUCAGUGACUGGGUGAUGGGGGAAGUGACGGGGGACUGGCUCACCCUUACCGUCCAUGGACUGACGCCUUCAAGGAAGUAUUUGCACAAGAUGCACUCUCACAGUGUCAAAGGUUUUGGUCCAUUCUCCUCCGUGGAAAGCUUCACGACUCUUCCAGCUGUUGACAAGAGCAUCGGUGAGCCCCCAGGCUGGUGUGUGGAGCGAGAGGCCUGAUUGUGCUGGUGAUCGCUGGCGUGGCAGGAGCCAUGACCAGCUGGGGGCCUUCUUGGCCACCACACUGUACUGCCGCAGGUCAAGGCGGAGCCCAGGCCAAGCAUUGUUCUUGGCGGCAGCUGCAGUGAGAGCAACAAGCCUGGCGUCCAGCCUCCAGACCUGUGGAUCCAUCACGGCCACUUGGAGCUGAAGAACUUUGACAAGGGUGAGCGCAGCAACUCCCCCAACCACGCCUCCAUCAUCCAGCACACAGGAGUCGCGUCACAUCACAAUGGGACCAAAAAAGGACGAGAAGGGACAAGACAAGAAGAAAAGGUCUUCUGCUGCCGCUGGUGCCUCUCCUGAUGAUGAUGAGCAACAAGAAGACACUCAAGAACAACCUGCCAAGAAAGUGAAGGGACGAUCCAAGAAGAGGUCAUCGUCUGCUACCAGGGAGACACCCCCUCCUCCAGCCCUCUUGCGUCACCAAUCCACUUGGACACAGGAGCCCCAACCUGGUCAUGAUGAUGCUGGGUGUGUCUUUUGUUCAAAAUCGGGAGCAAAUUCUUGGAGGAGAUUUGAAACUCGUAGUAGAUCCGGAGUUAUCGGUGUAGUUCGUCGUACAUUGUAGUACUUCGUACUUACAAAUCGGGACAGUUGGUGUUGUUCGUGAUACUUCGUAGUACUUCGGCUCCAAAACUCAGUGUACUUCGGGAGAAAAUCAGGGUGAAAUCGUAGCACAUCGUAGCAUAUCGUAGUACGUCGUAGCACUUCGGGAAAUAAUUCGGUGUACUUCGGGGAAUAUGCCCUCGAGGUCGACCGAACGCCUCGAGAUGAAAAGAUAAACAAAUUUUCGUAGUGAUUUGGGGAAAACGCUGUCUCCCGAGGUACUACGAUUUUUUUUGUGAUUCGGCGUCUGUGAGACCGGGGGGUAAGUGUGUUCUCUCAAAGUUUCCGGUAGUUUGGUCGCUGCUCUCUGUAUUCUUUCCAACUUUCUAAUUUCUUUCUUCAAUAUAGGUGACCACACUAACGCUGCAUAUUCCAGUCUUGGACGUAUCAUCCAUGUUAUUAGUUUCUUCACCAUCUCUUCAUCUAGAUAUGUAAAUACUGCUUUUAUGUUUCUAAGAAGAUUGUAUGUUUCCCCAGUUAUCCGAUUUAUAUGCUUUCCAAAGGAUAACUUGUCUGUUAUUGUCACUCCCAGAUCCUUUUUCUUCUGUUUUUUUAUGAUUCUUUCGUUACUCAGAGAGUAGUUCCCCGAUAUUCGUCUGCUGCUCUUACCAAACUCCAUCACACUACACUUCUCUGUACUGAAUGUCAUUUCCCAUUUGCGUGACCAUUCGCUUAUUCUAUCGAAAUCCUGACUCAAUGCUACACAGUCUUCUUCAUUAGCCACCCUCCUCAUUAGUUUAGCAUCAUCAGCAAACAUAUUCAUAUAGCUUGUCACCCCUUCUGUCAUGUCAAUUAUAUAUUGUUAUGCCGGACGUAUUACUUGGGUUCCGUGUCGCCGUCACAAGACUCCGUGGGAGAGAGAUAUGUAAACACUUUGCACAGCUUCUGUAGUUUAAUAUUCUUCCUUAGUAGUACACUUCACUCUGACUCUUCACUGACCACUAGCUUACUAUGACUGGGACUGCCCUCUCUUGCCCUCUUCUCCUAUAUAUAUCCACAACAGCACAGUCUAGAAUGUUACAGUAUAUUUUAGAUCGUACAAGAACAUUUAGCAAAAAUAUAUGCGAGAUGGCAACACUUCCCGCCUGGCGCCUGGCCGCGCCCCGCGGGGCGCGGACGGCUCGCCUUGCUCCCCGCCCCCUUGCUCGCUUCUCCGGGAGCCUUCUUGAGGCCUAUGGUCGCCGGGGGAAGCUUCCAGCACAACACUAUCCCCCCCUCUUAAUUGUGAUCGUCCCGAUCACACACUUAACUAUAUACAAACGUAAGGGAAUUAAUCAAAAACAUAAUAAUCGUCGUAUCGCUGUGGACGCCUGCGUUGUCUCUGUCUUCUGCUCGGUGUCUCCUGCGCGUCUGUCUCCUGGUGCGCCUCGUCGUCGUCCGCUUCUUGGGGUGUCCCUGGAACAUCUGCCGAAGCAGGGAGGUUAUCUCCCUCAGCUGAAAGGUCCAGAAGGCCUAUGUCGUCGUCGACCUCCUCUCGGUCCUGGACGUCCCUUGCGUUUUCGUCGGCUGCUGGGUGUCUGUAGUUGUUCCAGGUGUAGUUUCCCGGACCGUGGUACCUCCAUAGGCGGUUGACGUGGACAACUUUCGGCUUGGUCCUUUCCGUUCUCCGGAUUCGGUAAGUCACGUCGGAGAGGCGUUCUAGCACAGUAUAAGGGCCUUCCCAGGGGCUCUGUAACUUUGGAGACUGUCCUUUCUUCCUCUGCGGGUUGUAAAGCCAGACCUUCCAGCCGUUCCUCUAGUUGACGGGCAAAACUGGAGGCGUCCCUAGGAAGG
Eriocheir sinensis (Chinese mitten crab) is the source of this 2798-nucleotide long non-coding RNA. RefSeq lists it as uncharacterized. The record is from RefSeq and is a predicted model, not a curated record. NCBI's taxonomy places the organism in Eukaryota, Metazoa, Arthropoda, Malacostraca, Decapoda, Varunidae. The transcript has 5 exons.